AUCCAGCUGACGAGUCGCAAAUAGGACGAAUCGCGCGUUAUCCUGGAU
RNAcentral lists this non-coding RNA (48 nucleotides) under Trichobilharzia regenti. Lineage: Eukaryota; Metazoa; Platyhelminthes; Trematoda; Strigeidida; Schistosomatidae. The record is from RNAcentral.